Molecule: long non-coding RNA, 215 nt
Filed under: Sorghum bicolor (sorghum)
Lineage: Eukaryota; Viridiplantae; Streptophyta; Magnoliopsida; Poales; Poaceae
Description: long non-coding RNA (SBIC_LNC008971)
Source: RNAcentral
AUAGUGAUGGCCGAAGACUUAGCUGCAGGUACCUUGAUCCCACUGGGCAAAUAUCUUCUGGGAUCUGCCUAUCAUAUGAUGCAUCAGAUCACUGCCCAUAUGCAUGAGGGAGUACAAAUAUCCUGUGUAAGUGGCCCCUAGUGGUUAGUCCAAAUGUGGUUUCAACUAUACAUGCAUUAGAUAAUUUCUGUGGAUCUUCAUAAAUUAAGCUUCCC